CGCUGGCGGCGUGCUUAACACAUGCAAGUCGAACGGUGAAAGAGGAGCUUGCUCCUCUGGAUCAGUGGCGAACGGGUGAGUAACACGUGAGUAACCUGCCCUUGACUCUGGGAUAAGCGUUGGAAACGACGUCUAAUACCGGAUACGAGCUUCAGCCGCAUGGCUAGGAGCUGGAAAGAAUUUCGGUCAAGGAUGGACUCGCGGCCUAUCAGCUAGUUGGUGAGGUAACGGCCCACCAAGGCGACGACGGGUAGCCGGCCUGAGAGGGUGACCGGCCACACUGGGACUGAGACACGGCCCAGACUCCUACGGGAGGCAGCAGUGGGGAAUAUUGCACAAUGGGCGCAAGCCUGAUGCAGCAACGCCGCGUGAGGGACGACGGCCUUCGGGUUGUAAACCUCUUUUAGUAGGGAAGAAGCGAAAGUGACGGUACCUGCAGAAAAAGCACCGGCU
This 453-nucleotide ribosomal RNA is filed under the name uncultured bacterium. RNAcentral describes it as "bacterial SSU rRNA". It matches the Rfam family "Bacterial small subunit ribosomal RNA", at positions 34 to 498 of the family's 1533-position model. The record is from RNAcentral.